This 620-nucleotide ribosomal RNA is filed under the name Paenochrobactrum glaciei. RNAcentral's name for it is "bacterial SSU rRNA". It matches the Rfam family "Bacterial small subunit ribosomal RNA", at positions 91 to 746 of the family's 1533-position model. Lineage: Bacteria; Pseudomonadati; Pseudomonadota; Alphaproteobacteria; Hyphomicrobiales; Brucellaceae. The record is from RNAcentral.
GGGAGCGGCAGACGGGUGAGUAACGCGUGGGAAUCUACCUAUCUCUAGGGAAUAACUCAGGGAAACUUGUGCUAAUACCCUAUACGUCCGUAAGGAGAAAGAUUUAUCGGAGAUAGAUGAGCCCGCGUUGGAUUAGCUAGUUGGUGGGGUAAAGGCCUACCAAGGCGACGAUCCAUAGCUGGUCUGAGAGGAUGAUCAGCCACACUGGGACUGAGACACGGCCCAGACUCCUACGGGAGGCAGCAGUGGGGAAUAUUGGACAAUGGGCGCAAGCCUGAUCCAGCCAUGCCGCGUGAGUGAUGAAGGCCCUAGGGUUGUAAAGCUCUUUCACCGGUGAAGAUAAUGACGGUAACCGGAGAAGAAGCCCCGGCUAACUUCGUGCCAGCAGCCGCGGUAAUACGAAGGGGGCUAGCGUUGUUCGGAUUUACUGGGCGUAAAGCGCACGUAGGCGGAUUGGUCAGUUAGGGGUGAAAUCCCAGGGCUUAACCCUGGAACUGCCUUUAAUACUGCCAGUCUUGAGUAUGGAAGAGGUGAGUGGAAUUGCGAGUGUAGAGGUGAAAUUCGUAGAUAUUCGCAGGAACACCAGUGGCGAAGGCGGCUCACUGGUCCAUUACUGACGC